Molecule: non-coding RNA, 256 nt
Organism: Cinara cedri
Lineage: Eukaryota; Metazoa; Arthropoda; Insecta; Hemiptera; Aphididae
Source: the annotation of a GenBank genome assembly
AAAAAAGUGAUACUUCUAAGCCGAAUUUCGAACAUCGGUCAAUUCCAUACGAAAGAGCAUACUUUUCUCUAAAUAAUAGCAUAUUCUUUAGAGAUUUUAUCUAAAAAGUUAAUAUUUUAUGAGGAAUAUAGUCAAAAUUUUAGUAUCGUUCGUUAGGGAAUUUUCACGGUUUUUUCAAUACUAAAUUGAAAAAAAGUGAUACUUCUAAGCCGAAUUUCGAACAUCAGUCAAUUUCAAACGAAAGAGCAUACUUUUU